AAUCACCAGGCCUUUGGGUCUACAAUGAUUAUUGAGUUAAUGGACUCAUUAUCAAACACCUUAAUGGGAGGCUAUGACUCAGUUAUCUCCAUAACUUUAUCAUUUUAAGGACCUAAUAAUUUUAGAGGAUUUAAAUGAUUUAGAGGAUGAGGUCAGAUGAACCAGCAUAUCAUGAUCCUCCCAGUGGCUUCACCAAGUCAGUUUAAGGGAGACCAUUAAAAGGGCUGGUCUAAGAGCACCUAAAUCAGUCACACUGAUUUACCUAGCUGACAUGGGUCAGCUCGAAUAGUCAAGUGAUCCGAUCAAAAUAUAAUUUCAUCAAGAGGCCAGGUAAGUUCGAUCAGUGGGAGGGUCGGCCAAAGCUUGCCUUAGACACCAUCAGAAAUGGCCAGGUAAGCGGGCUCCCAAUUAAAAACCACCGGUCUGGUUUACCUUAGACACCAACUGGUUUAAUUAGUUUUGAUUAGAUCAACCUAACAGUUCGUGCUAGAUCGCUUAGCCAAAAAUCAAGUCCAUUUGGUUCUCAUUAAAGAUAUGGACUUGACCAACUACAACUAUUGUAAUUGAUCUAAAAAAUCCUUGACCUAAUCUAAGACAACAAUUGAUUAGAUUUAGUCAAUUCUCUAAUUAAGUCCAUCUUUAAUCUAACCAUAGGUCUAACCCAAUUAAUGGACCUAAUUCCCACUAACCCAUUAAUCCAAUGUGUUAUGGUUUGUGUCUUAGGUUCUUCAAUUCACAAUCC
This 742-nucleotide long non-coding RNA is filed under the name Elaeis guineensis (African oil palm). RNAcentral describes it as "long non-coding RNA (EGUI_LNC045066)". Lineage: Eukaryota; Viridiplantae; Streptophyta; Magnoliopsida; Arecales; Arecaceae. The record is from RNAcentral.